Long non-coding RNA from Gordionus sp. m RMFG-2023, 226 nucleotides. RefSeq lists it as uncharacterized. The record is from RefSeq and is a predicted model, not a curated record. NCBI's taxonomy places the organism in Eukaryota, Metazoa, Nematomorpha, Gordioida, Chordodea, Parachordodidae. The transcript has 3 exons.
CUGGAAUCGGAUGAGACGCGUUAUUUAUGGGCCAUUUCCUUUUUCAUGGAAUUUUCUAGAGAAACAGAUCUUGAUGUCAAAUAUUAUAGUCAAACAUUAAACAAGGAUAUCGUUCAUUAUUUGAUAAACAACAUGCACAAAUAUAUCGACAGCUUGAUGAUGGACAAAGUAGAUGGCGUUAUAUGGGGGAAAAGAACUCACCAAGCUCUGAUGGCAUACAAGCAAA